CCGAUCUCGAAAAUUGGGUUCACGUGUAGAGGCGUUGGUCCCAUUGGUGUGAGAUACUCUUUCAUCCUGCCUCUAAUGAUUUCACAUCUGAAGAACAAUGGAUAAAAGUUUGAUGGCAAGGGAUUAUAAAAGAAGCAUACUUUAGCUCGAGAAAGCCACUCAUCUCAAUGGCCCCGCAGUAGGAGAUCUCACCAUCCCCCUGAGAGAAGUGCAUAUCGCCGGUACUAAGAUUUGCUCCUUCUAUGAAUACCGGAAGGUAUAUUUUUGAACCCCUGCUGAGAUUUUUGAUGUCACAGUUGCCUCCAUUUUCUCGUCCUGGUAUGGUCCUCGCGGCUUCUUUUGUUAUCCAUUCCCAUUCAGGAGAUCCUUGUUUAAUCUAAAAAGUAAACAAAUGGCAGGACAGCUCUUAACAGGUCGGUAUAUAGGAAAGAUAAAUAUCCAUUUUAAGUCAACGGUUGUGCGUUCCUAUGGUGAACAGUUGCUUAUGUACCAUUCCGGAAAACAGCCUUUUGUUGAUGGAGUUCCAUAGACGGUGCAGUCCCGACUAUUCCAGGGUGAUUCAAGCCUGGAAAUCUCACACCUGCAAAUCACCGUGGGAGCUUGUUAGUUGAGAUUGUAUCUAAACACACGACUAUCCCCAAUAGCAGCUGACAAGUCUUUCAGAGGCAAUGGAGCUUGAAGAUUUUUUACCAGGUAUUUGAGGAGA
This is a non-coding RNA of Punica granatum (pomegranate), 706 nucleotides long. The record is from RefSeq and is a predicted model, not a curated record. NCBI's taxonomy places the organism in Eukaryota, Viridiplantae, Streptophyta, Magnoliopsida, Myrtales, Lythraceae.